Molecule: transfer RNA, 77 nt
Filed under: Leucobacter viscericola
Lineage: Bacteria; Bacillati; Actinomycetota; Actinomycetes; Micrococcales; Microbacteriaceae
Description: Leucobacter sp. HDW9C tRNA-Tyr
Rfam family: tRNA
About the family: Transfer RNA (tRNA) molecules are approximately 80 nucleotides in length. Their secondary structure includes four short double-helical elements and three loops (D, anti-codon, and T loops). Further hydrogen bonds mediate the characteristic L-shaped molecular structure. tRNAs have two regions of fundamental functional importance: the anti-codon, which is responsible for specific mRNA codon recognition, and the 3' end, to which the tRNAs corresponding amino acid is attached (by aminoacyl-tRNA synthetases). tRNAs cope with the degeneracy of the genetic code in two manners: having more than one tRNA (with a specific anti-codon) for a particular amino acid; and 'wobble' base-pairing, i.e. permitting non-standard base-pairing at the 3rd anti-codon position.
Source: RNAcentral
GGGGCGUACCGAGUGGAUCGGAAGCCGACUGUAAAUCGGCUGCGUCAGCACUGCAGGUUCGAUUCCUGCACGCCCCA